RNAcentral lists this ribosomal RNA (429 nucleotides) under Gemmatimonadota bacterium. Its description in RNAcentral is "Gemmatimonadetes bacterium partial 16S ribosomal RNA". It matches the Rfam family "Bacterial small subunit ribosomal RNA", at positions 355 to 776 of the family's 1533-position model. Lineage: Bacteria; Pseudomonadati; Gemmatimonadota. The record is from RNAcentral.
CAGGGAAUCUUCGGCAAUGGACGAAAGUCUGAUCGAGCAACGCUGCGUGAGUGAAGAAGGUUUUCGGAUCGUAAAACUCCGUUGUUAGAGAAGAACAAGGACGUUAGUAACUGAACGUCCCCUGACGGUAUCUAACCAGAAAGCCACGGCUAACUACGUGCCAGCAGCCGCGGUAAUACGUAGGUGGCAAGCGUUGUCCGGAUUUAUUGGGCGUAAAGCGAGCGCAGGCGGUUUCUUAAGUCUGAUGUGAAAGCCCCCGGCUCAACCGGGGAGGGUCAUUGGAAACUGGGAGACUUGAGUGCAGAAGAGGGGAGUGGAAUUCCAUGUGUGGCGGUGAAAUGCGUAGAUAUAUGGAAGAACACCAGUGGCGAAGGCGGCUCUCUGGUCUGUAACUGACGCUGAGGCUCGGAAGCGUGGGGAACAAACAGG